GGUACUUAUUCUUUGGAUAUAUGAUGAAGAGGUUAGCUGUAAGAAGCUUAUAUAGAUAUUUCUUAUGUAUGAAUACCAAUUUUCUAUGGUUGAGUAUGAAAAAUUUAUUUAUUUUACUAUCUUUGUCAUCAUCUUUAGAAUUAAAGAGUUGCAUAACUCUCAAAAAAGAGAUUAUCAAGAUAUAUUUAGAAGAGACAAA
This 199-nucleotide long non-coding RNA is filed under the name Elaeis guineensis (African oil palm). RNAcentral's name for it is "long non-coding RNA (EGUI_LNC032863)". Lineage: Eukaryota; Viridiplantae; Streptophyta; Magnoliopsida; Arecales; Arecaceae. The record is from RNAcentral.